CCCCAAACCCACAGGGAAUGGGAAAUGUCCAUUUGAUUACUCUUCCGUCUAUUCAGAUCAUCUAAUAAGGAGAGGUAAGCUGCAUAUAGGAAGUUCAAGAUACAUCUGAGUUUAGAAAUUCACUUAUUUCUGUGACACGAUGGGAACUGUAAUCAUUUUUUGGCUAAGGAAUUGCUGACUUUGUGAAAUCUUUCAAGGCUACGGAAGUAGAUUUUUUAAAGGUGAAUAACUCCAAAGCCAGAUGUUGCAGUCUCUAAAAAGCAGCUGUCAUGGAUGUGGAUCAUUCAGCCAAGACCCGGUGCACCACCUCCUAGCGACCCCAGCAAAGAAAACUCUUCCUACAGCUGGAGCUGUAUAAGGACCUGGCAGAAGCCUCGGAAACGCAGCCUCCCAGCCUUUCUGCGUUAAACUGUUCUGCAGCCACAGAUAGCUGUUCAGGCAGCUGUUCUGGCACAAGGUGAUCCUUCCUCAGAUCAUGUAUGGAACAUAGGGGCUGCUGGUACGUAUUUUGGACAUUGCGCAGGACAUCACCUCAGAGACACACAGAAAGAUAUAAAACGAAUUCCAGCACUUAGAAAGUGUUUCUUUAGCACAUCGUUUGAUGUGUUUGGAGGCACUUGAACAUGGACAGGCAUUCACUGCAGAACACAUGGACUUAACAUUUUUUUUCACUUUCUAGCUGCUUAACAUCACGUCUCUAUGAGGUAUCACUUCUAUGGCAGAGCAAACUGUCUAUUUUUCAUCCACUGCAGCAUAAAGACAUUCAAGCUAGCUUAAACCAGUUUUUCACUGGAGCAGAUGAGGUGUAUUCAUGUGAUCAGUUCUAGUAUCUCUGAACACUAACUUCCAAAAAAAGCUUUUUGACAACUUAAAGUUGACAACUUUUUAAAAUCAGUCCAUUGAAAUUCACUACUGGUUAUCCUGUCUAUAAAUGAUCACUUCCUGCAGGUCACUGCAGAAGUGUAAGAUCAGCAAAGUUUUAGCUAUAGCUAAAAGUAUGGAACUUAAUGUAUACCCUUGCCAGUUCCACCUCUGCUCUGAGAGACACCAGAUGUGACAAUUGGAACCCACCUUGCCUUUUAUUAAGGGGGCCUCUAAAGCCACGGUGAAUGCUGAGCACCAAGGAUUUAUCUUUGAUAACAUCUCUUUUGGUCAGCUGUCUCAUUUAUUAGUUCCCAACACUGUUAAAGGAUUCAACAGACCUACUUAGUGUAAGCGGGUGGCAAAGUAUUUGCCGGAUCAGGGACACGAGAAACCUAAGCGUUCAGUGAAUGAAGAAAACAAUUGCAAGGAACUGCAUAAAACUGCUAUCUUGAGCUGCUGUUAGAAAAUAGAAUGCAGAAUUUCACCUACCAUGAAAAUUUUAUAGAAUGAAUAUUAAUGUUAUGAAGAGAAGUAGGGUGGAUUUGCAUUAUGUAUUUGACUUGUCCCUAGAGCACAGAGACUGACAUAGACUUGUGACUGCAUUAAGUAUAACUAAAUUUUAAUUGAAGAUGAUUGAUUGUUGAGCAUUCUGUUAAUUAACCUCUUUAUUCUACAUUUUCCUACAGAAUCUGAACUGUCCUUUGAAAGCAAGUUUUCCAGCUUAACCAUCAAAAGAUAUGAAUACGAGCUUCAUUCACAAGGAUACUCUGGUAAUAAAAACACAGGAAAAAGAAAAGAAUGAAUGGCA
This is a long non-coding RNA of Anser brachyrhynchus (Pink-footed goose), 1672 nucleotides long. Lineage: Eukaryota; Metazoa; Chordata; Aves; Anseriformes; Anatidae. The record is from Ensembl.